RNAcentral lists this ribosomal RNA (259 nucleotides) under uncultured bacterium. Its description in RNAcentral is "partial 16S ribosomal RNA". It matches the Rfam family "Bacterial small subunit ribosomal RNA", at positions 99 to 354 of the family's 1533-position model. The record is from RNAcentral.
CGCACGGGUGAGUAACACGUAUGGAACCUGCCCUAUGCAGGGGGAUAAGCGGAAGAAAUUCCGUCUAAUACCGCAUAACACCUUUAGGAGACAUCUUCUUGGGGCCAAAGGAGGCGACUCCGGCAUAGGAUGGCCAUGCGUCGCAUUAGCUAGUCGGCGGGGUAACGGCCCACCGAGGCGACGAUGCGUAGGGGUUCUGAGAGGAAGGUCCCCCACACUGGUACUGAGACACGGACCAGACUCCUACGGGAGGCAGCAG